Molecule: long non-coding RNA, 1135 nt
Organism: Culex pipiens pallens (northern house mosquito)
Lineage: Eukaryota; Metazoa; Arthropoda; Insecta; Diptera; Culicidae
Exons: 2
Source: RefSeq, a predicted model, not a curated record
ACACUAAAAAAAUAUGAAAGUUACACUUCACAUAAUUCGGAAACUGACAGAAAAAUAGAUCAUGUAAUCACAAAUUUAACAUAAUAUUACAUCUCGUGAAACCUAAUUAUCAUCAGAACCAUAAAAAAAUAGAUUUGCAAUAAAAUGUGAGAAGCGUUUGAAAAUCACCACAAAUUUGAUGUAAUUUUAUAUCUCAGACGAUGCACAUAACUGGAGCAUCACAUUGAACAGAAUAUUCAAUCAUCUUACUCAAUUUUACAUUCAACGGAUGGCAAAUUUACCCACUUUCAACUGAGAAAAUGGUUCCUCGCAGCGCAGCGUGCAUAAACGUCAACGUCAGCCAUUUUGUGUUGCAAAACAGAGCGAACGCUUCUCAAGCAGAACAUUUAUUUUUAUUUACGGGUUUUAAAACCAUUUUCUAGUGUAUUUCUCGUAAAAAUUUGAUAGAGGUCACCGUGAAAAUCUACCGGCAACCCUGAGCGCAUUAGAAUCGAAAAAUUUAGGUCGCUGUGACCUGAUUGAACUUUUUAUUUUCGAAAUCGAACUUCUCGCCGAAUCGAAUCAAAAUCGUCUCCGGAGGGCCGUUUUCAACAAGCAGUUUUUGGUUUUAUCUUAAGGAUCCAAAUGAUAAACACUGUCAAAUGCCCAUCAGCAUUGAGUGCCAGCAGGAUCCGGAAGGGCAGUUUUCAAAAUAUUGGGACGCACCAAACCACUUCAAGAAAUCGCAUAAAUUCUGGUGGAACAACAUGAGACAAACGUUUAGUGAAUCUGCGGUUGUAACUGCAGUCACCCCGCCCGCACGGGAGAAGUUCAUGUGAAAAAUUUGAAGAGGAUUAUCACGAUCAGCGGCUUGGACCAACCAAGAGGAAGAAGCCAGCACCAGAGUCCUGCAUGUAGUUGUUAUCUGAAAAAGUUGCUUCCGGUGCCCUGUUCGGUGCCCUGAGGCAAGAUGAACAUCAACUUUUGGUGUUUCCCGGUGGAAUGAUCCGAAAGUGAUUGUAAAAUGUCAGAUGAUGUCAGUCUGAGGUUCGUUCAUGGUGCCGUGAUGAAACCUGACGAUGUGAAAUAAGUGACAAAUGAAGAUCAAUGUUUUGUAUUCAUGCAAACGUGGAAAUAAAUAAUGAUUUUUAAUGUA